Molecule: ribosomal RNA, 468 nt
Filed under: uncultured bacterium
Lineage: Bacteria
Description: partial 16S ribosomal RNA
Rfam family: Bacterial small subunit ribosomal RNA
Source: RNAcentral
GACGAACGCUGGCGGCGUGCUUAACACAUGCAAGUCGAACGGAAAGGCCCUGCUGUUGUGGGGUGCUCGAAUGGCGAACGGGUGAGUAACACGUGAGUAACCUGCCCUUGACUUUAGGAUAACUUCAGGAAACUGGGGCUAAUAACGGAUAGGAGCUCCUGCUGAAUGGUGGGGGUUGGAAAGGUUCGGCGGUUGGGGAUGGACUCGCGGCUUAUCAGCUUGUUGGUGGGGUAGUGGCUUACCAAGGCUUUGACGGGUAGCCGGCCUGAGAGGAUGACCGGCCACAUUGGGACUGAGAUACGGCCCAGACUCCUACGGGAGGCAGCAGUGGGGAAUAUUGCACAAUGGGCGGAAGCCUGAUGCAGCAACGCCGCGUGCGGGAUGACGGCCUUCGGGUUGUAAACCGCUUUCGCCUGUGACGAAGCGUGAGUGACGGUAAUGGGUAAAGAAGCACCGGCUAACUACGUG